Molecule: ribosomal RNA, 253 nt
Filed under: uncultured bacterium
Lineage: Bacteria
Description: partial 16S ribosomal RNA
Rfam family: Bacterial small subunit ribosomal RNA
Source: RNAcentral
UACGUAGGUGGCAAGCGUUGUCCGGAAUUAUUGGGCGUAAAGCGCGCGCAGGUGGUUCUUUAAGUCUGAUGUGAAAGCCCCCGGCUCAACCGGGGAGGGUCAUUGGAAACUGGGGAACUUGAGUGCAGAAGAGGAUAGUGGAAUUCCAAGUGUAGCGGUGAAAUGCGUAGAGAUUUGGAGGAACACCAGUGGCGAAGGCGGUUCUCUGGGACGGUACUGACGCUGAGACGCGAAAGCGUGGGGAGCGAACAGG